AUCCAGAUGACGAGUCCUAAAUUAAACGAAAUACACAUCCUGGAU
Molecule: non-coding RNA, 45 nt
Filed under: Trichobilharzia regenti
Lineage: Eukaryota; Metazoa; Platyhelminthes; Trematoda; Strigeidida; Schistosomatidae
Source: RNAcentral